AUACGGAGGAUCCAAGCGUUAUCCGGAAUCAUUGGGUUUAAAGGGUCCGUAGGUGGAUAAUUAAGUCAGAGGUGAAAUCCUGCAGCUCAACUGUAGCAUUGCCUUUGAUACUGGUUAUCUUGAGUUAUUAUGAAGUAGUUAGAAUAUGUAGUGUAGCGGUGAAAUGCAUAGAUGUUACAUAGAAUACCGAUUGCGAAGGCAGAUUACUAAUAAUAUACUGACACUGAGGGACGAAAGCGUGGGGAGCGAACAGGAUUAGAAACCCUAGUAGUCC
RNAcentral lists this ribosomal RNA (274 nucleotides) under uncultured bacterium. RNAcentral describes it as "partial 16S ribosomal RNA". It matches the Rfam family "Bacterial small subunit ribosomal RNA", at positions 523 to 796 of the family's 1533-position model. The record is from RNAcentral.